UGGGGAAUUUUGGACAAUGGGGGAAACCCUGAUCCAGCCAUCCUGCGUGUUCGAUGAAGGCCUUCGGGUUGUAAAGCACUUUUGGCAGGAAAGAAACGUCAUGGGUUAAUACCCCGUGAAACUGACGGUACCUGCAGAAUAAGCACCGGCUAACUACGUGCCAGCAGCCGCGGUAAUACGUAGGGUGCAAGCGUUAAUCGGAAUUACUGGGCGUAAAGCGUGCGCAGGCGGUUCGGAAAGAAAGAUGUGAAAUCCCAGAGCUCAACUUUGGAACUGCAUUUUUAACUACCGGGCUAGAGUGUGUCAGAGGGAGGUGGAAUUCCGCGUGUAGCAGUGAAAUGCGUAGAUAUGCGGAGGAACACCGAUGGCGAAGGCAGCCUCCUGGGAUAACACUGACGCUCAUGCACGAAAGCGUGGGGAGCAAACAGG
Molecule: ribosomal RNA, 429 nt
Filed under: Acidobacteriota bacterium
Lineage: Bacteria; Pseudomonadati; Acidobacteriota
Description: Acidobacteria bacterium partial 16S ribosomal RNA
Rfam family: Bacterial small subunit ribosomal RNA
Source: RNAcentral